RNAcentral lists this ribosomal RNA (253 nucleotides) under uncultured bacterium. RNAcentral's name for it is "partial 16S ribosomal RNA". It matches the Rfam family "Bacterial small subunit ribosomal RNA", at positions 524 to 776 of the family's 1533-position model. The record is from RNAcentral.
UACAGAGGAUGCAAGCGUUAUCCGGAAUGAUUGGGCGUAAAGCGUCUGUAGGUGGCUUUUUAAGUCUGCCGUCAAAUCCCAGGGCUUAACCCUGGACAGGCGGUGGAAACUACCAAGCUGGAGUACGGUAGGGGCAGGGGGAAUUUCCGGUGGAGCGGUGAAGUGCGUAGAGAUCGGAAAGAACACCAACGGCGAAAGCACUCUGCUGGGCCGACACUGACACUGAGAGACGAAAGCUAGGGGAGCGAAUGGG